RNAcentral lists this ribosomal RNA (497 nucleotides) under uncultured bacterium. RNAcentral describes it as "partial 16S ribosomal RNA". It matches the Rfam family "Bacterial small subunit ribosomal RNA", at positions 28 to 507 of the family's 1533-position model. The record is from RNAcentral.
GAUGAACGCAGGCGGCGUGCCUAGUACAUGCAAGUCGAGCGAACGGACGAGAAGCUUGCUUCUCUGAUGUUAGCGGCGGACGGGUGAGUAACACGUGGAUAACCUACCUAUAAGACUGGGAUAACUUCGGGAAACCGGAGCUAAUACCGGAUGAUAUUUUGAACCGCAUGGUUCAAAAGUGAAAGACGGUCUUGCUGUCACUUAUAGAUGGAUCCGCGCUGCAUUAGCUAGUUGGUAAGGUAACGGCUUACCAAGGCAACGAUGCAUAGCCGACCUGAGAGGGUGAUCGGCCACACUGGAACUGAGACACGGUCCAGACUCCUACGGGAGGCAGCAGUAGGGAAUCUUCCGCAAUGGGCGAAAGCCUGACGGAGCAACGCCGCGUGAGUGAUGAAGGUCUUCGGAUCGUAAAACUCUGUUAUUAGGGAAGAACAUAUGUGUAAGUAACUGUGCACAUCUUGACGGUACCUAAUCAGAAAGCCACGGCUAACUACGUG